RNAcentral lists this ribosomal RNA (427 nucleotides) under uncultured bacterium. RNAcentral's name for it is "bacterial SSU rRNA". It matches the Rfam family "Bacterial small subunit ribosomal RNA", at positions 355 to 774 of the family's 1533-position model. The record is from RNAcentral.
UAGGGAAUAUUGGACAACGGGGGCAACCCUGAUCCAGCCAUGCCGCGUGAGUGAAGAAGGCCCUCGGGUUGUAAAGCUCUUUUGUCCGGAAAGAAAAGCAUUCGGUGAAUACCCGGAUGUUCUGACGGUACCGGAAGAAUAAGCACCGGCUAACUUCGUGCCAGCAGCCGCGGUAAUACGAAGGGUGCAAGCGUUACUCGGAAUUACUGGGCGUAAAGCGUGCGUAGGUGGUUGUUUAAGUCUGAUGUGAAAGCCCUGGGCUCAACCUGGGAAUGGCAUUGGAAACUGUGCAGCUAGAGUGCGGUAGAGGGUAGUGGAAUUCCCGGUGUAGCAGUGAAAUGCGUAGAGAUCGGGAGGAACAUCUGUGGCGAAGGCGACUGCCUGGACCAGCACUGACACUGAGGCACGAAAGCGUGGGGAGCAAACA